This 210-nucleotide ribosomal RNA is filed under the name uncultured bacterium. Its description in RNAcentral is "partial 16S ribosomal RNA". It matches the Rfam family "Bacterial small subunit ribosomal RNA", at positions 524 to 733 of the family's 1533-position model. The record is from RNAcentral.
UACGUAGGGCGCAAGCGUUGUCCGGAAUUAUUGGGCGUAAAGAGCUCGUAGGCGGCCAGUUGCGUCUGCUGUGAAAUCCCGGGGCUCAACCCCGGGCGUGCAGUGGAUACGGGCUGGCUAGAGGCAGGCAGGGGAGAACGGAAUUCCCGGUGUAGCGGUGAAAUGCGCAGAUAUCGGGAGGAACACCGGUGGCGAAGGCGGUUCUCUGGG